UUCCGGUUGAUCCUGCCGGAGGCCAUUGCUAUCGGAGUUCGAUUUAGCCAUGCUAGUCGCACGGGUUUAGACCCGUGGCAGAUAGCUCAGUGACACGUGGCCAAACUACCCUAUGGAUCAGAACAACCUCGGGAAACUGAGGCUAAUUCUGAAUAACGCUCUUUGCCUGGAAUGGCACGAGCCGGAAACGCUACGGCGCCAUAGGAUGUGGCUGCGGCCGAUUAGGUAGACGGUGGGGUAACGGCCCACCGUGCCCAUAAUCGGUACGGGUUGUGAGAGCAAGAGCCCGGAGACGGUAUCUGAGACAAGAUACCGGGCCCUACGGGGCGCAGCAGGCGCGAAAACUUUACACUGCACGACAGUGCGAUAAGGGAACUCCGAGUGCGAGGGCAUAUCGUCCUCGCUUUUCUGUACCGUAGGGAGGUACAGGAAUAAGAGCUGGGCAAGACCGGUGCCAGCCGCCGCGGUAACACCGGCAGCUCGAGUGAUGGCCGAUAUUAUUGGGCCUAAAGCGUCCGUAGCCAGCUGAACAGGUCCGUCGGGAAAUCUGCUCGCUCAACGAGCAGGUGUCCGGCGGAAACCAGUCAGCUUGGGAUCGGAAGACCCGAGGGGUACGUCUGGGGUAGGAGUGAAAUCCCGUAAUCCUGGACGGACCACCGGUGGCGAAAGCGCCUCGGGAAGACGAAUCCGACGGUGAGGGACGAAAGCUAGGGUCACGAACCGGAUUAGAUACCCGGGUAGUCCUAGCCGUAAACGAUGCUCACUAGGUGUGGCACUGGCUACGAGCCAGUGCUGUGCCGUAGGGAAGCCGUGAAGUGAGCCGCCUGGGAAGUACGUCCGCAAGGAUGAAACUUAAAGGAAUUGGCGGGGGAGCACUACAACCGGAGGAGCCUGCGGUUUAAUUGGACUCAACGCCGGU
RNAcentral lists this ribosomal RNA (919 nucleotides) under uncultured archaeon. RNAcentral's name for it is "bacterial SSU rRNA". It matches the Rfam family "Archaeal small subunit ribosomal RNA", at positions 1 to 922 of the family's 1478-position model. The record is from RNAcentral.